UGAGGAAUAUUGGUCAAUGGGCGAGAGCCUGAACCAGCCAAGUAGCGUGAAGGAUGACUGCCCUAUGGGUUGUAAACUUCUUUUAUAAAGGAAUAAAGUCGGGUAUGGAUACCCGUUUGCAUGUACUUUAUGAAUAAGGAUCGGCUAACUCCGUGCCAGCAGCCGCGGUAAUACGGAGGAUCCGAGCGUUAUCCGGAUUUAUUGGGUUUAAAGGGAGCGUAGAUGGAUGUUUAAGUCAGUUGUGAAAGUUUGCGGCUCAACCGUAAAAUUGCAGUUGAUACUGGAUAUCUUGAGUGCAGUUGAGGCAGGCGGAAUUCGUGGUGUAGCGGUGAAAUGCUUAGAUAUCACGAAGAACUCCGAUUGCGAAGGCAGCCUGCUAAGCUGCAACUGACAUUGAGGCUCGAAAGUGUGGGUAUCAAACAGGAUUAGAUACCCUGGUAGUCCACACGGUAAACGAUGAAUACUCGCUGUUUGUGAUAUACUGCAAGCGGCCAAGCGAAAGCGUUAAGUAUUCCACCUGGGGAGUACGCCGGCAACGGUGAAACUCAAAGGAAUUGACGGGGGCCCGCACAAGCGGAGGAACAUGUGGUUUAAUUCGAUGAUACGCGAGGAACCUUACCCGGGCUUAAAUUGCAGAUGAAUUACGGUGAAAGCCGUAAGCCGCAAGGCAUCUGUGAAGGUGCUGCAUGGUUGUCGUCAGCUCGUGCCGUGAGGUGUCGGCUUAAGUGCCGUAACGAGCGCAACCCUUGUUGUCAGUUACUAACAGGUUUUGCUGAGGACUCUGACAAGACUGCCAUCGUAAGAUGUGAGGAAGGUGGGGAUGACGUCAAAUCAGCACGGCCCUUACGUCCGGGGCUACACACGUGUUACAAUGGGGGGUACAGAGGGCCGCUACCACGCGAGUGGAUGCCAAUCCCCAAAACCUCUCUCAGUUCGGACUGGAGUCUGCAACCCGACUCCACGAAGCUGGAUUCGCUAGUAAUCGCGCAUCAGCCACGGCGCGGUGAAUACGUUCCC
RNAcentral lists this ribosomal RNA (1017 nucleotides) under uncultured bacterium. RNAcentral's name for it is "bacterial SSU rRNA". It matches the Rfam family "Bacterial small subunit ribosomal RNA", at positions 355 to 1375 of the family's 1533-position model. The record is from RNAcentral.